UGGGGAAUAUUGCACAAUGGGCGAAAGCCUGAUGCAGCGACGCCGCGUGAGGGAUGACGGCCUUCGGGUUGUAAACCUCUUUCAGUAGGGAACAAGGCUACACGUUGUGUGGUUGAGGGUACUUGCAGAAGAAGCACCGGCUAACUACGUGCCAGCAGCCGCGGUAAUACGUAGGGUGCAAGCGUUAUCCGGAAUUAUUGGGCGUAAAGAGCUCGUAGGCGGUUUGUCGCGUCUGCCGUGAAAGUCCGGGGCUCAACCCCGGGAUCUGCGGUGGGUACGGGCAGACUAGAGUGAUGUAGGGGAGACUGGAAUUCCUGGUGUAGCGGUGAAAUGCGCAGAUAUCAGGAGGAACACCGAUGGCGAAGGCAGGUCUCUGGGCAUUAACUGACGCUGAGGAGC
Molecule: ribosomal RNA, 399 nt
Filed under: uncultured bacterium
Lineage: Bacteria
Description: bacterial SSU rRNA
Rfam family: Bacterial small subunit ribosomal RNA
Source: RNAcentral